GGGAGCCCGAUAAUUAAGCUGGAAACACCAAAGGAAAGAGAAAGGAGGAUACAGGUGUGUGUGUGUGUUCAAAUUCACUAUUAAUAUAUUAAAGGUUAAUUAUGAAGAAAAAUAUAUAUUGAUUCUUGGAUUGUCACAUAUUCUACACAUACAAUCUCCCGGGGGAGUUUAUUACUUCAUGCAUCUCCUUAAGUGGGAUUAUAAAGCGAAGUUUUAUUCUCAAUUUUUUUUUUGAACUUCCGGCGACAUGUACACUGACUGCUUGAGUCCGUAUUAUAAGAAUCUUGCAUAUCCAUCAAAUUUAAAAGUAAUCAAAUGGGAUCUUGCGGAGAGAACAUCGGCGCUUCUGUCCUCGUAUAAUUAGUUCAUCGUUUGAGGUUCCAUGUUAGUGGCAGAGUAGUGCUCGCCUGGUCGAUCUAGUGGGAGUUCUACAUUGUUUAUUUUGAAGAUGCAUAAAUGACUGAGACUCAAGGAAAUUAGGUCACUUGUGUAUGCUGGGAAAAGCAGCCCUCACACACAUGAGUGAUGCGCAAUAAAACCCUUUUUCAGGCAAAAUAACUCACUUCACUGAGCAUUUUUUUAAACAUGAUUUAGCAUGUUCAUACUUUUUUGGAGUUAACGGGCAGCUCGUACAAACUAGAGUUUUUUUAUUUCAUUUAUAUUAUGAGAAGUACAUUUGUUGUUUGUGGUUGUUAAUUAAGAACAAAAUGAUAGUUCUAUAUUAAUAAGGAGAUAUAAUAUAUAAACAUGAUUUUGAGUAUUACGUUUGCACAUACUUUUUUUGUGAAAACCUUUGCACAUACCUGUUAUCAAGUAAUCCGCACCAAGUAGAAACAUAUAUCUCAUUGCAGCAUCGUAUACACAAUAUUGUAUGCCACUUUUUUUGUUGGUCCCUAAGUAAAAUUAUCAUCAAUUUUGUUUCCUAGAAACUUUUCAUUAAUGUUUUGUGCCAGUUAAAUUCUUAAAAUGAUUUUGUUAGACAUAUUAGGCUAAUUUAUUUGAUGGUUUCCAUAUUGCCACAUGUUCUAUAGUGGGAUUAUUUUCUGUUUUGAGGGUGGGAUUAUGUUCUCUUGGUAUCAUAAAAGCCUUGCCUGAUGUAUGCAAUCUUGGGAGCUAAUAUAUUUUGAAAACAAAAUUGUUUCACACUAGUUGGUGGAAUGUAUGGAGGUGUGCAGAUGUGAAUACAUCCACCAUGAGGCCAACCCGAUCCGGUCGGUGUUGGAUCGUGUUUUUGCUACUUCGUCUUGGGACAUUCUUUUUCCUCGAGCUUCUCUCUCCACCCUACCCCAUGUUGAGUCAGACCACUCCCCCCUCAUCUUUGGAUUUGGGCGUAUCCUCCACGGUAAUUUCUUCUAGAUUCCAGUUCGACGCUUCUUGGCUUUUGGUUGAUUUUUUCUUUGAUAUGGUCUCGGCGAAGAUCUCCUCCCUCCUUAAUUCGAGAGUCGGGUCUUUUGGCCCAAUGCACGACUGACACUUCUGCUCUUACCAACUUCGGAAAUUCCUCAAAGACUGGGGCCGUAAUCGCGUGACUGAUGCUCUCAAACGCAAGUGUGACCUGUUGAGGCAGGUCUCGUCCUCAGAUGCAGAGGCCGAUUCGUCCGGGCUGUUGGCGGGCAAUAUCGUUAUGAGCUUGAGGGCUCUCUCAUGCAACUACACCAGUAGGAUGAGGUCUAUUGGAAGCAAGGUGGCACCAUUAAUUAGACUCUGAAAGGGGAUUCCCCAAUUGCGUAUUUUUUUCUAUUGCCAAUGGCCGCCGUUGCAGAUGUUCUAUUGAUAGUUUGGUAGCCCUCACACACAUGAGUGAUGCUCAAUAAAACCCUUUUUCAGGCAAAAUAACUCACUUCACUGAGCAUUUUUUUAAACAUGAUUUAGCAUGUGCAUACUUCUUUGGAGUUAACGGGCAGCUGGUACAAACUAGAGUUUUUAUUUUAUUUUAUAUUAGGAGAAGUACAUUUGUUGUUUGUGGUUGUUGAUUAAGAACAAAAUGAUAGUUCUAUAUUAAUAAGGAGAUAUAAUAUAUAAACAUGAUUCUGAGUAUUAUGUUUGCACAUACUUUUUUGUGAAAACCGUUGCACAUACAUUUUAUCAAGUAAUCCGCACCAAGUAGAAACAUAUAUCUCAUUGCAGCAUCAUAUACACAAUAUUGUAUGCCACUUUUUUGUUGGUCCCUAAGUAAAAUUAUCAUCAAUAUUGUUUCCUACAAACUUUUCAUUAAUGUUUUGUGCCAGUUAAAUUCUUAAAAUGAUUUUGUUAGACAUAUUAGGCUAAUUUAUUUGAUGGUUCCAUAUUGCCACAUGUUCUGUAGUGGGAUUAUUUUCUGUUUUGAGGGUGGGAUUAUGUUCUCUUGGUAUCAUAAAAGCCUUGCCCGAUGUAUGCAAUCUUGGGAGCUAAUAUAUUUUGAAAACAAAAUUGUUUCACACUAGUUGGUGGAGUGUAUGGAGGUGUGCAGAUGUGAAUACAUGCACCAUGAGGCCAACCCGAUCCGCUCGGUGUUGGAUCGUGUUUUUGCUACUUCGUCUUGGGACAUUCUUUUUCCUCAAGCUUCUCUCUCUGCCCUGCCCCAUGUUGUUUCAGACCACUCCCCCCUCAUCUUUGGAUUUGGGCGUAUCCUCCACGGUAAUUUCUUCUAGAUUCCAGUUUGAUGCUUCUUGGCUUUUGGUUGAUUUUUUUCUUUGAUAUGGUCUCGGCGAAGAUCUCCUCCCUCCUUAAUUCGAGAGUCGGGUCUUUUGGCCCAAUGGACGACUGACACUUCUGCUCUUACCAACUUCAGAAAUUCCUCAAAGGCUGGGCCGUAAUCGCGUGACUGAUGCUCUCAAACGCAAGUGUGGCCUGUUGAGGCAGGUCUCGUCCUUAGAUGCAGAGGCCGAUUCGUCCGGACUGUUGGCUGGCAAUAUAGUUAUGAGCUUGAGGGCUCUCUCAUGCAACUACACCAGCAGGCUGAGGUCUAAUGGAAGCAAGGUGGCACCAUUAAUUGGACUCUGAAAGGGGAUUCCCCAACUGCGUAUUUUUUUCCUAUUGCCAAUGGCCGCCGUUGCAGAUGUUCUAUUGAUAGUUUGGUUAUAAACGAUGUUUGGUUUGUUGACCCUCGCGUGAUUAUGGAUCACGUCUUCAAUUUAUUUUCUGAUCAGCUAGCAGCCAGGCCAGCCUUGGGUUUCAUUAUCUCCCCCAAUCUUUGGGCCCAGGAUUAGGCGGGUUUCAGACGAAGAGAACGCGGCUCUUCCGAUUCCCCUCUCAGUUGAAGAGAUUGAUAUGGCCAUCAAUUCACCUAAUGUGAACUCGGCCUCGGGCUUGAAUGGAUUCUCGACCCCUUUCUUUAAACGGUUCUGGCCCACCCUUCAUUCGUUGGUUUGUGAUAUUAUUCAAGGUUUUUUGUCUCGGUAAUGUGGACAUUUCACACCUUAGUUAUGCCAUCCUUUCCCUUAUUCCCAAAGUUAAGGGUGCUGAGUCUAUUUCUCAGUUUCAGCCCAUUGCCCUGAUUAACAACUUCGCCAAGUUCCCUCCUAAAGGGCUGGCAACGAGGCUAUUGCCUGUGGCCCAUCGUAUUAUUAACCCUUCCCAAUCUGCUUUCAUAAAAGGUAGGUUUAUUUUAGAUGGUGUCCUUUGUAUGCAUGAGAUUGUCCAUGGCCUUAGGAUGAGAGGUAGCAGAGCGAUUAUUCUCAAGCUUGACUUCGGGAAAGCCUGCGACUCGGUUAGUUGGGAUUUUCUCCGUCACGUCAUUUUUGCUAAGGGAUUUGACUCCGGUAUUGUCCAUAGAUUGAUGCAGUUGUCUCUGGUAGUCAUACAGCGAUGGCUAUCAAUGGCUCGGUUAGCAAAUUCUUCACCAAUGGUCGUGGCCUUCAACAAGGCAAUCAAGCUUCGCCUAUUCUAUUUAACUUUGUUGCAGAUGCAAUAUCGUGUAUGCUCGACCGGGCGGCCUCAGCCGGACACAUCUCCUCUGUCAUUUCCCACCUCCGCCCCACGGUAUCACUCUCCAAUAUGAGGAUGACACGGUUAUUCUUGUGGAGUUGAACGACUCCUGUAUUGCUAACCUUAAGUUUAUCCUGCUCUGCUUCGAAGCCUUCUCGGGGCUCAAAAUCAACUCUUCUAAGGGCAAGGUUAUUGUUACGGGAGUUGACGAGGCCGAAGCAUUGCGUGUUUCCCAACUUCUUAACUAUUCUCUAGGGGGUUUUCCCUUCAAAUACUCGGGGCUCUCUAUCUCUCCUUUCCGUCUAUGUGCCAUGGAGUUCAAACCUUUGGUUUCUAAGGUAGGAAAUAGAGUUCUACCGUGGCAUGGUAGAUAUAAAACCUUUGCUGGCAAAGUUUCUCUUAUUACUUCCUGCCUUUCCUCCCUCACUAUGUUCACUAUGUGUUUUUUUACUUUCUAAAGGCACUCAUGCAAGCUUUGACAAACAUAGAAGGGCCUUUUUUUGGAAUUCUGUGGAUAAUAAACGAAAAUAGAUUUUGUUAAGUGGGAUAUCAUUUACAGACCAAAAAGCCUUGGGGGCUUGGGAUUUUGAACACCUAGGUGAUGAACAGCUGCCUCAUCAUCAAAUGGCGGUGGAGGAUUAUGACCGCGACUCCCGGCACUCUUUGGUUCGAUAUUCUCAAAGCUAGAUAUUCCCAGCUGGUAGCCCCAUGUUCGCCUCGGCGUCACGUGGCUCGCAGUUUUGGAAAGAUCUGGUCAAGGUUAGGGAUGUGUUUCGCCAACAUGUUAAAUUCGUGGUCAAGAACGGUGCCUCUACUCGCUUUUGGUUGGGUUGGUGGUCUCGAGACACCCCCCUUGCGACCUCCUUUCUGGUUCUGUUUUCUUAUUGUUCUAAUCCGGAGAUCUGAAUCUCUGAGCUCUCUCGUAAUGACGGGGACUUGGGUUUCCGAAGAUCCCUUUCUCCUGAAGAGUUGGGGGACUGGCACCGCCUUGCUGCUUUGUUCCCUGUUCUCUCGGAGGAGGUGGACUCCGUUUCCUGGCCUCACACUACGUCUGGGAAGUUUUUGGUCAAAUCGGUGUAUGCUAGGCUUAUUUUUGGACCUCCUUCCACCAAGUUUAAGCAAAUCUCGGCGGCUAGGAUCCCCUCGAAGAUCAAAUUCUUUCUCUGGCAAGCCUUUAGGGGCUGACUACCUUCUGCUGAUCAGAUUCAGAAGCGGAACGGUCCUGGUUCUGCCUUCUGUGCUUUAUGUUCUACCAUAGAAGACACUAAUCAUAUUUUUUUUCAUUGUGUUUUGGCCAAGCUGGUUUGGGGGUGUGUUCGUUCUUGUUUGAACACCUCUUGGGCCCCUGGUUCCUUCUCGGAUGUUCGUCUAUUGACGGCCAAUUUACAGGGCCGAUAUAGGAGGCUGUUUUGGAUUAGGUUGGGUGCUCUUUGCUAGGCGCUAUGGACUACUAGAAACAAAUUCACUGUUGAGGGUAUUUUCCUAAUAAGCCUGCUGAUGUCCUACUUAAAAUGUGUAUUUUCCUGCAGCAGUGGAAAUUAUUGACUAAAUCGGCGGACCGUGAUGAUAUGGAGGUGCUGAUCAACAAAGUGCGGGCGUCUGCAAACUUGAUGUCAUCUCCAUCCGUUGGCGCUUCAUCGUAGCUGCUGGGCCUUCUGAGUGCGUAGGUGGUGGCCUGCGUGCCCCGUUCGUAUUAGCCGUUCCUGUGUGCCGCUAUACUGUACUAAUGUUCUCUUGUUCUCUUGCCCUGUGUUGGGUGGCUCGUUGACUAUGGUUGGCUUGUGUGGGCUGUGUUGGUUGUUGCUACUCUUCCGUAUGGCUUUAUCUAUAAAGUCGGGCAUAUGGCUUUUCUCUAAAAGAAUCUGAAUUCUCAAUUUAUGCACGCAAGGGAAUGUGUUUGGUAGGAAGGUAAUUUUUGCGAUGUG
RNAcentral lists this long non-coding RNA (5831 nucleotides) under Triticum aestivum (bread wheat). RNAcentral's name for it is "long non-coding RNA (TAES_LNC020858)". Lineage: Eukaryota; Viridiplantae; Streptophyta; Magnoliopsida; Poales; Poaceae. The record is from RNAcentral.